Molecule: long non-coding RNA, 721 nt
Organism: Pseudophryne corroboree (corroboree frog)
Lineage: Eukaryota; Metazoa; Chordata; Amphibia; Anura; Myobatrachidae
Exons: 2
Source: RefSeq, a predicted model, not a curated record
AAUACAUGCCAACCAUAUGGAGUUGACCUAAUGCCUGUCUAUGUAGAUGUUCUGUACCACGCCCUUUAAAAAUACAUUUAAUAAUAUCAUGCUUACCCUGUUCUUAGAAAAGACAUGUUUUAUUACUGUUUCCAUUAGUAUGUUUUGUCUGUGGCCUGAGCACUUUAUUUUAUUGAACAUUCAUCUUCUGCUUGUCCAUAAUUUACCCAUCUUAUUAGUCAUUCAAAUCGCCCGAGUUCUCAGCAUCUCAGACAGAUUAUUUCAGUGAAUGUUUUGAUUCUGUAGGGUGAUACGAUGAGAGUAAUGGAGAAAUGAGGAUACUCACAGACUGAACUCUGCCAAACUGCUGAAAAUGGAAACAGAGUUAUUGUCCAACAGUUUCGGAUCCCACCAGCAUCCCUACAAACCAAGCGGAGCAGACGUCUAUCUAAUCAGCACUACUGUAUCCCCGACCACCAAACGGCUAACAGGGAUACUACCUUCCCGCCCUUUGCUGAUAGAUAAAAGUCUGCCUUGUCCUGCUAGGCUGCGGAUAUGAGGAGGACCGGACGAGCCCUCAAUUGAUAAUGUCAAAUAUUACCUUUAAACAUGAAGCUAUAUACCAAUACCGUGAAGCCGUAAUGGCCGCUAGGCCACGUGCACGUGUUACGCACUUUGCACGCUAUUUGCGUACAGGGUCCUGCACGUGGUACGCACUUGGCAAUAAACAGUGAAAACACAA